AGUUUAUAGAUGCGUUACAUCAAUUACAUUCAAAUUGUGAUAUGAGUUUGUGUAGUGGCAGACGGAGAAAAACACCCUCGCAAAAGGGCAAACUCCCCGUCUCACAGGUGCACAGGUGUGUGUGGAUGAAAGAGAAGGCGUGCACAUGCCGAAGGAGGCCAGCGACAACCGACUCUACAUUCAUUCGAUAAUGAUCCUUCCGCAGGUUCACCUACGGAAA
Molecule: unclassified non-coding RNA, 220 nt
Filed under: uncultured fungus
Lineage: Eukaryota; Fungi
Description: sequence contains ITS1
Source: RNAcentral